GAUGAUCUCCUAAAAGAUAAAGAGACUCCUAACAAAAAAUGAUUUGUCAAUCCUAGUUGACUCUUAAUGCAUAAAUCAACAGUUUAAGAUGUUAUGUAGGCUUAUUCUAUUAAUACACAGAGAAAAUAUUAACAGAGGAACUAAUCAGCCUCACAAAAAUAAAGUUCAAAGACCGAAAAAGGAUUUAUUUUGUUGACAAUCUUGUUGUCUUUUAAAGUAAUUGUCAGGAUUGUUUAGAAUUGUUUCUCUUUAAUUUUUUUAUAUAAAUUUAACCAGUGGGGUGUGAUGGAAGGCACUAAUCGGUCUGAUGGGACAACACUGCGUGCAAGGGGUUCAGGUUCUGGAAAAGACACGUAUUGCGGCAAAAGGUCAGAUGAAAAAAGAGGAGGCUCUUGCUGGAGGGCAUGUGAUGAAUGUCACACGUCGCAACUCGAAGCAAGGACCUGAGUUUGUUAACGCCAAUGACAUUAUAGCACGCCCUUUGUACUGUAAGAAAACGGAGAUUCAAACGACGACAAUCAUAAAAAUGAUUAAAAGCAAUUCACCCUAAGUUUGGAGACAUGUACUGAUUGCAAAGAAGUCACUCCCUAAGAAAAGUUGCACAUCCGAAAAAGUCAAAACUUUGAAGGUCAGUUUGUUGUCACGCAUUUUUUUUGUAGACCUAUGCAUUUAUUCUUUCAUAAGAGGUGUACACGAUCAUUUUUUCGUUGAACAUGGAUUAGAGGAAGCUGGACUUCAAAGAGAAUGCUGAAGCUGACCUUGAUAUCCUGUAUGAUUUCAAGUAGCGUAAACAUGUAUCUCCCUUUCUAUACUACUCGCACAAGUCCUCCGAGAUGACUGCUGAGGAGACUCCCAAGAUAAAGUUAUUUUUUAAUAAGUUUAUAUUUAUUAUUUACUAGAAAUUUAUUUUUGAAUUUAUAUUAUUUUUAUUGUUAGAAUUUUGAUUCUUAUAAGAAAUCUUCUAUGCAUGACAUUAUGCAUGUCAUGUGUAAAUUUAUUAGAAAUGUGAGUUUUUUUUUUUUUUAUUGUGCACAUGAUGUAUAUAUCAUAGUGUCUGGACCUUGCUUUUUGGACGCCAGCAAGAAUGUAAUUUGUCAGGGGAGAACUGGUUGUCGCAGCAGAUAUAUUUGGGAUGGAGUUGGACAUGAGGUAAGCAUGUUGUGACCCGGGAAUUUUCGAUGGGUUGAUUAAUCAUGCUUAAACUUAUUAAUAUAGUUAUCAUCAGUAUCAUCAAUGUGAUUAUAUUAGUUAUUAUUCUUACUCUUGCUUUAUUAUAACCUUCAUCAUUCUUAUCAUUUCAUUUAUCUUCUUUGCUAGUGUUAUAAAUAUAAAGGUUUUACUUAUUAAUUAUGAGUGUGGAUAUUGUUAUCAUUAUAGAUUUGAUGACUUCUUCAUGGCUGAUUAAUGAUGCGUACAACCUUUUACCUAAAAAUGUUGUUUACUAUUGAAUAAUUGACAUGUGCUAGUAAGGUUUUGGUUCCUAAUGAGCAUUGUUGUGGUACGAGGGAGGCACUUUGGACGCUCCGCCUUGAAAAAGAACUUGUCAACGAUGUAUUGAACGUGGUAGCUGGGAUGUUGACUGAUCAACGACCUGACCACAGGAGGUGGUGACUCCCAACUACGUUCAGCGCGAGUUUGUUUUUCACUUAAUUGAGGGUGUGUUUAGGAAUUUGUUGGAAGGGAAGAAGCACGUUUAGAUUUAUUGAAAGUUUCAAUUUUUGGUUUGGCAAAUUUUUUUUAUGAAUGCAGAAGUGAUUUUGCUUUUAAGACCACGUUUACAAGAAGCAACUAUUUUUAACUUCUGCGUUUUCUUAAC
Molecule: non-coding RNA, 1816 nt
Organism: Arachis ipaensis
Lineage: Eukaryota; Viridiplantae; Streptophyta; Magnoliopsida; Fabales; Fabaceae
Source: RefSeq, a predicted model, not a curated record